This 443-nucleotide ribosomal RNA is filed under the name uncultured bacterium. RNAcentral describes it as "partial 16S ribosomal RNA". It matches the Rfam family "Bacterial small subunit ribosomal RNA", at positions 338 to 795 of the family's 1533-position model. The record is from RNAcentral.
CCUACGGGAGGCAGCAGUGGGGAAUAUUGGGCAAUGGGCGCAAGCCUGACCCAGCAACGCCGCGUGAAGGCAGAAGGCCCUCGGGUUGUAAACUUCUUUUGUCAGGGACGAAACAAAUGACGGUACCUGACGAAUAAGCCACGGCUAACUACGUGCCAGCAGCCGCGGUAGUACGUAGGUGGCACGCGUUAUCCGGAUUUACUGGGUGUAAAGGGCGUGUAGGCGAGAGGGCAAGUCAGAUGUGAAAGUCCAGGGUUCAACCCUGGAACUGCAUUUGAAACUGUUUUUCUUGAGUGAUGGCGAGGCAGGCGGAAUUCCGUGUGUAGCGGUGAAAUGCGUAGAUAUACGGAGGAACACCAGUGGCGAAGGCGGCCUGCUGGACAUUAACUGACGCUGAGGCGCGAAAGCGUGGGGAGCAAACAGGAUUAGAUACCCUUGUAGUC